UAAACGGGUAGAGUUGAACUGCAAGCGCUGAGAAUUCAGCUGAUGAGUGUGAUUUGUGCUUGGCCAAGUUGGUGGACUCCGGGGUCUGCGUAGUAGCAGGUCUCUGCCUUCGGGUGGGGAUGCGCGAUACACUUAUCAAGUGUUGCGCGCUUCGGGUGUUUUUCGGCCUACUCGUCAGUGCACUUUCUCAGUGUGUUCACCACGACCAGCACCGCUGUCUGGCUGCUAUGGUUAAACCGGUUAUGCACAAUCCUUGUGGUUAUGCAUAGACGGGAUGGCAGGUGACUCGUUAGCAGGCUUGUGGCUUUGCCGCAUUCAUUGCUAUUGAAAGUUAUUAGCUGACCAUAGUGGUUCUGUGCAGUGUGUUGGAGGCGGCGGCUUUAGUUGUUGCAGGUGUUUCUGCUUGCUGACUUGUCCGGGUUUGGUUAUUUUGUUGCCUGUUUCCACAAGGCCUAGUGAUGGCUCGGGUUCGUUCGGUGAGUGGUUGCAUUUGUGACUUCAUUUCUGGGGCCAAUAGUCUGUGGUGUAGUGGUAGACUUUCUACCUGACCCGUCUUGAAACACGGACCAAGGAGAGUAACAUGUGCGCGAGUCAUUGGGCGUUACGAAACCCACAGGCGAAGUGAAAGUAAAGGUCUGACUUGUUCAGACUGAGGUGAGAUCCUGUCGUUUGGGACGCGCGGUACUACCAAGCAUCGAGCGGCAGGCGCAUCACCGGCCCGUCCCAUGUCAUUUGGCUUUCGGUCAGUUUUCGGUCGGGGCGGAGCAUGAGCGUACAUGUUGAGACCCGAAAGAUGGUGAACUAUGCUUGCGCAGGUUGAAGCCAGAGGAAACUCUGGUGGAGGACCGCAGCGAUUCUGACGUGCAAAUCGAUCGUCAAACGUAGUAUAGGGGCGAAAGACUAAUCGAACCAUCUAGAGCGGUCCCC
This 927-nucleotide ribosomal RNA is filed under the name Glypthelmins brownorumae. RNAcentral's name for it is "eukaryotic LSU rRNA". It matches the Rfam family "Eukaryotic large subunit ribosomal RNA", at positions 386 to 959 of the family's 3401-position model. The record is from RNAcentral. Lineage: Eukaryota; Metazoa; Platyhelminthes; Trematoda; Plagiorchiida; Plagiorchiidae.